AAAAGAGAGAGGCGGGGGAGAUGCCGUGAUCACGAAGGUGUUUUUCCAGGGCGAGGCUGAUUGCACUCCGGAUGUGCUGACCCCUGCCAUUUCCCCAAAUGUGGGAAACCCUGCCGCAUAGUCUGUGGUAGUGGGGGACUGUGUUCACGCUCUCCCCUG
Dipodomys ordii (Ord's kangaroo rat) is the source of this 159-nucleotide small nuclear RNA. Its record names the gene U1. It matches the Rfam family "U1 spliceosomal RNA". From Rfam's summary of the family: U1 is a small nuclear RNA (snRNA) component of the spliceosome (involved in pre-mRNA splicing). Its 5' end forms complementary base pairs with the 5' splice junction, thus defining the 5' donor site of an intron. There are significant differences in sequence and secondary structure between metazoan and yeast U1 snRNAs, the latter being much longer (568 nucleotides as compared to 164 nucleotides in human). Lineage: Eukaryota; Metazoa; Chordata; Mammalia; Rodentia; Heteromyidae. The record is from Ensembl.